AUAGUGGUACAAUGAAAUUGCAUAUUUGCUUAGCGACAUGAUACAUACUUGCAAUGAGCACGGUGCCUGUGUUUACUAUAGAAAGCAACAGCCCAUGCUUGGUUAGGUUAGGCCCACUACAACAUGCAGGCAUGGGUGAUUGGCGCUUUUUUUAUUUCUGUAUCGUGAGGUUUAUUGACGUGCGUAUAGGUGCAGUGGCACGCAGUAUGGCUAGUACAAAAAAGGGGGGGGGCAGAUAUAUGUAGCUCACUGUACACGAUACAGGGCAAAGGAAAUCCGUGUUCAGCAACUAUGUUAAAUGCCAUGUACGUAAAUUUUACAACGCUACUCGUUCGAAGCGCGCACAGGUGCAUAUUGAAGAAAAGUUUCCAGGGUAGAUAAUUUAGUUCGUAAUUUACACUAAUUUUGCUCUAACCACGAGACAUAAUAAUUUGAAUAUACUGCACGGAAAAACCUAGAGCGAAUUAAAUUGUGUGUCAGCUUCGUGUGUAUACAUAUAGUCUUCCCUAUGCAUUAGGUUUUUUGCGUAAUGCAUUAACAGUUGACAGCCUAUCUUAUGAUGUGUACUCUGUUUACAUUACAGUUGUUUAUUAGUUUACUCGUUUGUUUUGCGACUGAUGAAAUGCCGGCAUAUAUAUAUUUUCAACAUUUGACAUAACCCUGUAUGUUUUUCAGGGACAACCCAGGACGUGCAUUUCUCAGCACCCAGUCAACUGCCAAAAGUGACUCAAACACAGGCCACCAGUGGAACUCGGCUGUACCACUGCAGUGCUGCGGAAAUUGCCUUCACCAGCGGCUUUGCAACAGCUGUUUCGCAGCAUGUCGGAGACAAUGCCUACGAAAUUAUUGGCCCUGAUCAUGAGAGCCCUCAAGGGGCAAACAACAUCUCUGUUGCAGAAGUGAGCCCGGUACCACUUGGAAGUUACCAUGACAGAUGACACGGCAGCAAUAGAUACAGAGACUGCCACGUCUACUGCAGCUGCAACAGUGUACGAGGCAAGCAGCAGCGCGUCAGCAGCAGUGUCAGAAGGAACCACACCAGGCCUGGUAGAGCAACAUGUGUGCUAUCACUGACUUUUUUUGUAGUGGAUACAACUCAUUUGCUCAACAUACAAAAGCUUUUCACCACGACUGUGAGCCAGUGUUAUUGUGCAGCAAGUGCAAGACUAAGUUAGGUGUUAUAACACAGCACAAGCAUCACUUUAAUAUAUGCAAAUGCAAACAUAUUACAGUUGUUGCCUCCCCAGCCAGCCCACAUAGCCACAACAAUGUUGAACACAUGGUGGGACACACAUCUUCUCCAUUAGAAGAUAGUAGAGACUGUCAGUGUUGUUGUUAGAUUAACUGGUCUUUGUAGGCAACUAGGACAACACAGGUGUCAUAAGAUUGUUGUUGAUGUUGUUGUUGAAGAGGUAAAAAAGAAGUUUGAUGCAGCUGAAGUGCCAACUGAUAUUGAGCAAAUCAAAAGCAACCACCUGAGAAAGCAACACUAUCAAAAUUUGGGUAUCUAUGUGCCGCCAACUCUGGUAAGAAUGGCAUAGGACAGAAGUGUGAUGAAAAUCACACAGACACUGCUGUUGCAUCACUGGCCACAGUGAGCAGCGACUUGUAGGGCAAGAGAGUCAACUGAAACUAACAUUAUGAUAUAGUGUCAUGCUCCCAUGUGACCACUUUUCAAGUUAUUUUGCAAGAUACAGCUCAACCUCCAGAAACGAGACUGCAAGUUGUCUGUAAAAAAGCUUUCACAAAAAAUUAUUCAUAACACCAUUAACAUAGCAGUAUCUUUUUUUUUGUGUCGGUUCGAGGUUCCCGGCUGUCCAUUAAUGCAAAAAUUGAGGAAAAAAAGAACAUGUGUCGUACUUACACCUUUUUAACAAGUACGAGGGGGACAGAACUUUUCUAGUCAUGCAUCUUCAUCAUACUAUCAAGUUUUUAAAUGCCUUUUAUAAUUAUUGUUACCAGUUAUAUCUGAGUGCAUUGUAUGCAUGUAGCAGGUGUAAAAUCAGGUCAGUUGGAUCAGAUGCCUUAUCUGCAAGCGAGCCCUAUAUUCAAGAAAUUUGAAAUAAAAUAGUUACGUUAGAGACGCAGUCUUUCAGCACUUUAUUGCCUGUGGUUUAAGCAUUGCUCAAUACUUUUGUGGGUGGCAAUUUCAACCAGCACAGCACUGCGCUUUGCCACAGUCACAUUUGUCUUCAAAGGGGUGUUUACCAUUUGUGUUGAUCUGUUUGUGUAUGCAUAGAGCAAGUUUUUAAUUUAUAUUUUUCUGCAUUCUUGUGCUUGCACUAAGCUUGUAUAAGGCAGUUACAAAAUGUGCGGCACUAUAACGAACUGUUCUGUUGAGCUUACACUUGCAAAUAAUCGUGUUCAGAUGGCCGCACUUCUAUGCGGGUGCACCGCUAGCUUUGUGUAUGUUCUCAUGUUUGUAUAAAGCUUAUAUAAGCUAGUUAGAAAAUGUAUGUCACUAAGCAUUGUGAUAUUCUUUAAAGAACUGCUUGGUUGGUUUUACACUUGUGAAUUAGUAUUGAGGCGGUGGUAUUCCCAUGUAUGCCCACUGCUAGCUUUCUGUGUCCUCACGUGUUUGUAUUAAGUUUCUACAAGGGAGUUACAGCAUGUACGUCACUAAGCGCUGUGAUAUUUUUUAAAGAACUGCUUUGUUGGUUUUACACCUGUGAGUAAUAGUACUCGUGUGGCACUAGUCAUGUGUAGGUACACAGGGACCAUUUGUAUACAUUAUGCUCAUGUAAAGCAGUUACAAAGUGUAUGUCACUAAUUACUGUGAUAUUUGUUGAAUUGCUGUGAUGGUUUUACACAUGUGAAUAAUAGUGGUCAGGACACAGUACUUGCGGUGUAUAGUUGAAUUUAUACACUGCCAAGACAUGGGCUGUAUACGUACUAAAAGAAAGGUAUGUCAUUAUAUUGUU
Molecule: long non-coding RNA, 2921 nt
Filed under: Dermacentor andersoni
Lineage: Eukaryota; Metazoa; Arthropoda; Arachnida; Ixodida; Ixodidae
Description: uncharacterized LOC126541596
Source: RNAcentral